GUUCACUGAAUGUUCACAGUAGGCAAAACUAAUCUGUGUGUUAGAAGCAGGAUUCACGUUAACCCUGGGAGCUGACAAGUGAAAUGACGGGAGAAGAUCUUGUAAAAAUCGGGUGGAUUUCUCAUUCUCAACCAGGGUGGUGGUGAACUCCCUGAGUGGAUAUGAUUUGAGUAUUUUUUCUGAAGAUACAUCAAAAUUGUGCCUGUGCUUCUGCUUCCUGUCUUCCAUCCCGGGACUUGGAGGCUGGUGCUGUGGCCGCGGUCAUCAUCCCUAACGACAGUGUCAUCUGUGCCCUUGGUGUGAUGGAGGAGGAGCCCAGGGGAGCUUCUGUCCCCAAGUGGAACCCCCACUUUCACCAGACCACUGACCUGGCUCCUCCCCAAGAGGCCCAGCUCGUCAGCCCUGAGCCGCUGAAGCCAAGCCUAUUCCUACUCAUCCCUACUGACCGUGGGGAACAUCUUGGCCAUUAUCAUCUUAAACAGGUCUCUUUGGUGAUGGUGCCCAAAGUGGGCUGAAAAAGGCCAACUGGAGGCAGAGGGCCCUCGGUGGACGGUCAUGUCCUGCCAACAGGUGAUGGUGAAGUCCUGCAUCCCAGGUGGGGUUGGGAGAUGGAGGUAUGUUGCGUGCAAACACCUUUUCUUCCACGUUUGAUCAAUGCAUGAAUAUCUGACUUCUUUCCUACCAAAACCCAUGGAAUGGCCCAGAGAACCAUGAUACACAAAGGGGAUGAGACCCGCCCCCGCCUCCUGCCCUAUUCGUUCAGUCUUCAUGUGACUUGACUCACUGCUCCUUCUUGCAACGUGGAGAGUUCUGGGUGCAGAGCAUCCUUGUCCAUCUCUGCAUCUCACACAUAGUGAAUGUCUGCUUCAUAAAUGCCUUCAAGCAAUGUGAUUGAAUACAUGGAUCAGAGUCCUCAAGACAUCCCAUUCCAUUCAGAAGUGGAAGAGGUUUGAGGGGCUCCUCAUGGUUCACUGUCUUUGAAUUCUCCAUCCAGCCCUCAGGACACUGUCUCUCUGUACACCCUCCGUCACGUGGCUGUGUGCUUCUGGCCCAGUCUCCGCAGGGCAUCCUUCACGUCCUUGUUUCUCAGGCUGUAGAU
RNAcentral lists this long non-coding RNA (1099 nucleotides) under Capra hircus (goat). RNAcentral describes it as "lncRNA (ENSCHIG00010003590.1)". Lineage: Eukaryota; Metazoa; Chordata; Mammalia; Artiodactyla; Bovidae. The record is from RNAcentral.